RNAcentral lists this ribosomal RNA (147 nucleotides) under Triticum aestivum (bread wheat). Its description in RNAcentral is "partial small subunit ribosomal RNA". The record is from RNAcentral. Lineage: Eukaryota; Viridiplantae; Streptophyta; Magnoliopsida; Poales; Poaceae.
AUGUUUAUUGCACCAAAAAUUCUUAAAUAUUCAGAAAUUUGUAUUACAUUUUCAGGGCAUUCUGAGAACUUUUAUUUUUGGGUCAUUUUUUAUUACACGGGAAAACCAGAAACAGACAAAACAUGGCAUUUUAGUUUAUUUAACUAA